CCUGAUGUUCCCUGCUGUGACUUUGUGGUCAGGGGCCAACAUUAAGCCUAAGUCUCCCUAAAUAACCCACCCAGCAUGGCCACAGCUAUAUUGAGGGCAUGGCACAAAACCUGUACAGUCAUGCUGCAAUAGCUGUUGAAGUCUAGUGGCUUAGAUAGACUUUGUAGUCCCUUGCAGGUGCCCCUGCUUCAGUAGGACAAGCACAAGAACUAUGUACCCUACAGCGUGUGCACCAGCUUGCAAAAACUCCCCUCCUAAUGGGUCCAUGAGAAAUGAAAGGGACUCUGAAGCCAGCACAGUCACAGCCUGGAGAAACCAAUGCUGUGGCUGGGCAACAGCACCUUCAGGUGAUACUCAUCCUAUAAUCCACUUUUCCCUGGAGCAGCACUAAUUGCCUGGCUGGAUUUAUCAGCAGACAGAAGGAUGCAUGUGCUGGAAGGAUAAGAGGCCAAGCAGUGAUAAAUGUCACUCUGAUGAGCUUUGCAGCCACUUCAGAUGUGUGAGGGUUUAAAGUCUGGCUGCUUUAUCCCAAGGGUGAUCUUUCUCUUUGGUAUUCACCUGACUCGCCCAGAUCUGAGCCCUGCCCUUUGAGGAAAGAUCAGGUGUUAGCAGGGGACCUGGCUUGGAAGCAAGACAGCUUCAAAGACAAGCUCUGCUCUUCCCUGCUUUCUAUGAGAGCAGGAGAAGCUGUGGGGACUCAAAGGACAGGAGGCUGAGCCAGCUGCGACUGAAUCCACCGGUCUGUUGGGAGGCUGCUGAGGAAUAAACCAGGCUCUGGAAUCCAGGCAGAGGCGAACAGCGAUGAGCAGGGAGGAGAAAGGACCAGGAGUCACGGGGAUGGAUUCCCUCCACCCUGUCAAACACCUUAUCUUGCCAUUUCAUUUUCAAUUAUCUUAUCUGCUCCGCAGUGCAAAUGUUUUCCCUGUGCUGGAUUUCAUACGUAAACAUCUGCAGAUGGCUUAUUGCUUUCUUAACUGAGGGAGACAGGAAAACACAGUAAGCUGCCUGGAAAGGGCAUGCACAUCUUAUUAAAUGUAUUAUUUGCUCUACUGCAAUUAAGAUAAUGGUAUUUUCAUUAUAAAUUGCUAUUUUAGCUUACACUCCAGAGAUAUAAAAAUCUUCCUGAAAAGCGAAGCAUUGAAUAUUACACUAGCACAUAUUGAAAAGGGGCUUUAGUAUUAUCAGCUUUUCCAGUAAAAGCCCAGUAUAGCUUUUAUAGUCCCUUGUUUAUAAGAAUCAGCAUUUAACAUUUCCUUAUUAAAUAUUUAGAGUGAAUGUUUA
Neopsephotus bourkii (Bourke's parrot) is the source of this 1281-nucleotide long non-coding RNA. RefSeq lists it as uncharacterized. Lineage: Eukaryota; Metazoa; Chordata; Aves; Psittaciformes; Psittacidae. The transcript is spliced from 2 exons. The record is from RefSeq and is a predicted model, not a curated record.